This 479-nucleotide ribosomal RNA is filed under the name uncultured bacterium. Its description in RNAcentral is "partial 16S ribosomal RNA". It matches the Rfam family "Bacterial small subunit ribosomal RNA", at positions 28 to 507 of the family's 1533-position model. The record is from RNAcentral.
GAUGAACGCUAGCGGGAGGCCUAACACAUGCAAGCCGAGCGGUAUUUUUCCUUCGGGACAGGGAGAGCUGCGUACGGGUGCGGAACACGUGUGCAACCUGCCUUUAUCUGGGGGAUAGCCUUUCGAAAGGAGGAUUAAUACCCCAUAAUAUAUCUAAUUGCAUCAUUCGAUAUUGAAAGCUCCGGUGGCUAGAGAUGGGCACGCGCGAGAUUAGAUAGUUGGUGAGGUAACGGCUCAGCAAGUCAGUGAUAUUUAGGUGGCCUGAGAGCGUGAUCCCCCAUACGGGAACAGAGACACGGACACGACGACUACGGCAGGCCGCAGUGAGGAAUAUGGGACAGCGGGUGAGAGUAUGAUACAGCCAGCCCGAGCGAAGGACUGCGGCGCCGUGGGUUGUAAACUUCUUUUAUACUGGGAUAACCCUACUUCCGGGUAAGUAGAUGACGGUACCGUAUGAAUAAGCACCGGCUAACUCCGUG